UCUGGCACCAAUUUUUCCACUUCUCAGAAACACUUUGGCGCACAAAUUCCCAAAGCAACCUUGCUCUUCAUUCUGGAAAAUAUGAUGCCAACACCUCAGAAUAAAGGACAGACAGGAGCUUUUGCUUCAAAGGGAAUCAAUCACUUCAUGCAUGUUAAAUUGCCUGAAAGACUCUAAACUUCACAACUUUUGAUCAUAACUCCACUAUAUUUGCAUACAUUCAUUGUUAUAUCUGAAAAGCAUAGGAUAGUUGUUUUUUAAAAUUAAAUGAAGUAAGUUCAUAUGUUAUCGCUAGGUGUAAGAACUGCUAAUGUGGACAACUGCUGAUAAGGACCUCUAUAGAAGUAGAAAAUUCUAAGUGUCCUACUAUCACCAAUAAGAAAUUUUAACAGUCCAGUGGAUACAAUACAAUCACAUGGAAAACUGUAUACAGUAUGUUGUAUGAGAAGAUCCCACAGAAGGAACAGAGCCUGUAAGAUACAUCAUCAUCUAAACUACAGGUGAGAAGAACAUCAAGAUUCUUUAAAGCAAUGGCUCUCAACGUGUGUUUCCUAGACCAGCAGCGUCAGCACUACAUGGAAACCUAGAAAUGCAAACUCUCCAGCCCCGCCUCAGACCUGCCGGAUCGGCAACUGCGAGAAGUCCGUAUUUUCAUCUAUGUUAUAACAGGUCCUUAGGUGACUCCAUGAACACUACAGCUGGCAAACCAUUGCCUUUAACAGUGCACAAGCUGUUAUUUGAGUACAAAAUUGCAGUUUUCUGCGUUGUCGUGACUCUAUUUUUGCAGGAGUAGAAAGGUACCCCAUGGCAGUAGAGAUAAGUGGAUCUGAAACCCCGACAGCAGCUCAAGAGGUUCUUUAUGACAGCUGGAACCUGAACUCCAGUUGCCCUCGGAGGCUUGUGGUUUAACCGUCCCAGAGACAAAUCUGCCACUUCCGGCUUGCAUCCAGCAAAAGUGCAGGUGUUCGUCAUCAGGAGAUGUCGGCUGAUGUAUGCACACAUUUAAGACAGAUUCGAAGGGUCAUGGACAGAUCACCAAUAAGACCAACAUGCAAGACCAGUGGACAGUGUGUGGUCCGGGUCCUAGGACUGACAACUGGGGCCUCAGCACCUGCUUGGGAUGGUGUUUUAUUUUGACUUUUUUCUGAAACAGCAGAGAAACUGCCCAAAUGAUCAAAAUGAGUGGACUUCAUGAGGACAGAUAAUAUUACCAACUGAAUUGUGUACCUCAAAAUUCACAUGUUGAAACCCUAAUCCCCAAGGUGACUGUAUUUGAAGUUGGGCCUACAACAGUAUGAGGACACAGUGAGAAUGUAACCAUCUGUGCACAGGAAGAGAGGCCUCACCAGGAACCAAAUGAGCCAGAACCAUUUUGGACUUCUCAGCUGCCAGAACUGUGAGAAAUAGUCUGUGGUAUUUUGUUAUGGCGGCCCAUGCAGACGAAUACAGAUACCAUGUCUAUGUUGUUCAUUGUCCUAUCUUCUGUGUCUAGCAUGUUACAGUCUCUCAAAUAUAUGUUUAGUAAGAUGCAUACUAGUUAAAAGGCAUUGAUUUUUGGCUUAAGUAAAUAACUGUUGUAUUGUGUUAUAUUUCCAGGAUUUUUUCUAUUUUUCAUAAACUCUGUGAAAAAUUUCACUUAGAAAAAACUAAUACUGUCAUUGGCAUUACAAGAGGUGCUCUACAGGAUUUGUGUGACCCACAGUAGCCCUGCCAAAAAUGCCUGUCAUCCACUUAUGGACAGACUUAGCUUAAAAUUCUUCUAGAGCUAGCAAUGGGAUAUCUCCCUUUAUUUUCUCUGUGGUACAGAGACAGUUUUCCAUUAAUUUUCUCAUAAGGGCUUUCCAUGAACAUGGUAAAUAAAAAAAGAGAGAAAGCAACAAGUCAGAGCACUCUAAGUAGGUAGGUUUCAUGGGAGCAAAGAGGUGAACAGGAGAGCAGAAAUGUGAACAGACCAGAUGUCUUGGAGGCUUGAGAACAGUAACCAUGGUGUGAGAACAAUAUUAAGACUUUUAUUUUUAUUUUCCAAAUAGUUUUUAAAAGGCUUUAAGCCAGGUACAGUGGCUCAUGCCUAUAAUCCCAGCACUUUGGGAGGCUGAAGCGGGUGGAUCACUUGAGGUCAGGUGUUUGUGACCAGCCCGGCCAGCAUGGUGAAAUCCUGUCACUACUAAAAAUACAAAAAUCAGCUGGGCAUGGUGGUAUGCACCUGUGAUCCUAGGCACUCAGGAGGCUGAGGCACGAGAACUGCUUGAACCCAGGAGGCAGAGGUUGCAGUGAUUGAGAUUGUGCCACUGCACUCCAGCUUGGGUGACAGAGUGAGACUCCUUCUCAAAAACAAAAACAAAACAAACAAAGAGGCUGAGGUGAGAGGAUUCCUUGAGCCCAGAAUUUCAAGGCUGCAUGUGCUAUGAUCACACCACUGCACUCCAGCCUGGGCAACAGAGCAAGACCCCAUCUCAGAAAAAGCCUUUAUCCCUUUUUAAAUGUCUAUAAAAGGCAUCCUUUUCAAAUGUUUAUUUUAUAUGUGAUUUACAACGUGCAUAAAAAUAGUGCAGUAAUAUGUGUAUUUAACCUAUAGAUAAGUAAUGAUACAUCUACUGGGAAUGCAGGAUGAAUGUUGUUGUUUUCCAAUUGGAAACAUAUAAUAAAAAAAUAUCUAAAGGCUGUUGCUCUUGACUCAGAGAUGGCAGGAAGGUGGAAACAAAAUGUAGAGGUCCAAACACUAAUGGGUUAACUAAAAGUCAACAGAAUAGCAGUGGCAAAAAGCUUCCCACACUCCUCUGCUGCCUGCCUCUCUCCUUCCUGAGCCAGUCAGGCAUUUGUCCAAAUCACCCUUAGGCAAAAAAUUAUAGAUUUGUUCUUCUUAAUUGAAUUAACCACCCUGGCAAUAUCAUUGCACUCUUCAGUAAGCCAAAGUAAAGAUUGCACAACUCUGGCAGUUGCUGUCCAGAGCCUUACAAUGU
Long non-coding RNA from Callithrix jacchus (white-tufted-ear marmoset), 2960 nucleotides. RefSeq lists it as uncharacterized. The record is from RefSeq and is a predicted model, not a curated record. NCBI's taxonomy places the organism in Eukaryota, Metazoa, Chordata, Mammalia, Primates, Cebidae.